GAAAUGCGAUAAGUAGUGUGAAUUGCAGAAUUCAGUGAAUCAUCGAAUCUUUGAACGCACAUUGCGCCCCUUGGUAUUCCAUGGGGCAUGCCUGUUCGAGCGUCAUUUGUACCCUCAAGCUCUGCUUGGUGUUGGGUGUUUGUCCCCGUCUCCGCGCGUGGACUCGCCCCAAAGUGAUUGGCAGCCGGCGUACUGGUCCCGGAGCGCAGCACAUGUCGCGCAAACGAGUGCCUUGGUACGGCGGCGUCCAUAAGCCCCUCUGUCACGCUCUUGACCUCGGAUCAGGUAGGGAUACCCGCUGAACUUAAGC
This 310-nucleotide unclassified non-coding RNA is filed under the name plant metagenome. RNAcentral describes it as "partial contains 5.8S ribosomal RNA, internal transcribed spacer 2, and large subunit ribosomal RNA". The stretch from base 1 to 105 matches the Rfam family "5.8S ribosomal RNA", at positions 50 to 154 of the family's 154-position model. The record is from RNAcentral.